RNA transcript from Solanum pennellii, 3656 nucleotides. It is a transcript of the gene named 60S ribosomal protein L37-2-like, with no coding region annotated. The transcript has 2 exons. The record is from RefSeq and is a predicted model, not a curated record. Lineage: Eukaryota; Viridiplantae; Streptophyta; Magnoliopsida; Solanales; Solanaceae.
CAUUACACCUUACUCAAAAUUUCCUCUAAAGUUUAUUUUUUUGGAGUAGCUUUAAGCUCUCUGUAAGUUCACUCAUGAAGUUGGAUAAAAAGACAUCAAAAGUCAUGGUAAUUGGAAUAUAAUGGUCCAUUGAUUCGAAGUACAUACAUAACACGUUCUUCUCAUAGACAAAUUACUUCCCACAAAGUCAACAAUUCAAGGGGAAGGCUUAAACCCGAGAAGUUGAAGGUAAUACCUUGUGAAAUAAGACUUCUUCUCUAUGGAUAUUAUUCUCUACACUAACGUAUAUUUUGCACUUCUCUCUAAAUACUAAGGUGAAGACACUCAAAACUUGUUGCGGGGCCAGUACUAGAGUUAUAAAUUACAUAUCAUUAUUUAUUUCACUCACUUCAUUUAUAGAAAAUAGUGUAUGUUUCAUCUUUGGACAUCUUCCUAUCUGUAUAGGAAGAGAUUUUACGCGUAUUUGAUUUCUUUAGUUAAACAAUUAAAACUUUAUUUGCAUUGUUGAGCAAUAGAAUCUCAAUUUCCUAUUACUUUUAGCUUCUAGUGAGGUUGUACUUCUGUAUUUGCUAGCAUUUUGAUUGUCGAUAUUCUAUUGUGAUAUAAAUAAGAAAGCAAAAUCAUGCUAUCUGAGUGAAUCCGAAAUAGUCUCUCACCAAGUGAAUUAUGGUUAUUCAUUUGUUUGCUUAUAUAUAGUGUACAAUUACUUAUAAUAUUUUCUUCGUAACGUAAAUCUGCAGAUAACAAGGGUUAAGACUUAAUAUCUUUUGUCACUUGUGUUAAUUAGACAAGAGAAUUCUUCGGAGUGCACGCUGAGGAUGCUAAACGAUUUCAUUCCUAUUUGACUUUUAGAGGUAAUCUGAACCUCCCUUGUGAAUGAAAAAUGUUGUGUACUAUCAGAUUCUCUAACUCUUAUAUUUCUUGACGUUAAUUUAUUAGUCCUUUAUAUGUCAUGACCAUUUACUUUUCUAUAUUUGAAAACACUAUCUUUGUUCAGAAAGGUAUUAUUGCCUCAAAAGUUUUCAUCUUUUAUAGUUUUACCUGUGAUUAAGUGACUAGAAUAUAGAAGAUACUUAAAUUGAUUUGGGAUUGUGAAAAUAUUGAUUAAUUAACCCCUCAAAUUAAAUACAACUAUUAAUCUUAUAAUCUUGAGCUACUUUAGUUUCAAGCUUCUGUUAUUGAUGCGUUUGUCGGGAAACAAUAUUACAGACCCAAGAAUGAUUUAAUAUUUCUGAAUUAUUGUUUUACUUUUUUCGUCGGCCAUAACUUCCUAAGUGGAUAAGGAUUCUUACUAUUUUAAUUUAAUAGGACUUUAUUAUUUCUAAUUUAUUAGGACUCUUGCUAUGUAAACCUCUAUUUAGAGAGUUGACAUUAUUAAUAAAAUAAGUUGAAUUUUAUCAAAUUUCAAAUAUUCCGAACUUUCUCAAAUAAGUUCUGAGGUCUGCAAUUCCCUCAAUGAAUUGCAAAUUUCAGCAUAGGCAAGUCAAAGAACAAGAACAAGGGCUUAGACCUCUCUAUUGAACCCGACUUUUAAGUUAAUCUUCCAGCGACUCGAUCUAGAACUAGGGACCAUAAUAGCUUCCUGGCGAUUUUGUAGCUGUAGAUUUGAUAAUGACCAAAGUCACCAGCACACCUUACCAGCACAACUUGGAGACAAUAGUUCAAAAACGAUCGGUAUGAUAUUAGCUACCUCAAAGUUUAGGACUCCGCCGCGAAGUUCAUUUCAGUGUUUGUCCUUUUUGAUGGACUCUCACAAGCAAUCCUUUAUCACCCAUCUGUAAGCCUUCACUCAUCAAUCUCAUGUUCAUUAGGUUCCCGCUCAACUAAUUUAAAAUUGAUCUUCUAAUGUUUCUUUGAAGGAUAUAUUAAAGAUAGGUAUAGUUUACUUCAACUUAUUUGGAUUUGAUGCUUAUUUAAUUGAUUGAUUGAUGUCAUUUCUCCAAGUUAAUUCUUUAUGAACAAAGAAAUUAUUUUUUUACACGAUAAUGUGAAAUAUCAUUUUUGUCGAAAAACACUCAUACGCAAGGAAACCUUUAUCUUAGUGUCUUGAUGAGAACACUGAAGCACACAUUAAGCAAAGAAAAACACUUCAAUAUGUUUUUAGCCUCGCUUCAGGUCUUAAGACGUCUUUGACAAUACUGGGAGAACUGACGUCUGCAUUAUUUCUGGUGGAACCUGUUAGCCCAAGUAGGGAGCUCAAGUGAGCAUUUCAGUGUCUUGAGAAGACAAAUUGUUUCUUGUUCUUUUGAUGAAAACAAAUUAUCACCUAUUGAGAAGCAACCUAUAUUUUUUACUUAGGGAUGUUGCAUAAUGCAUUGUCUAUGUCAAUUUUUUUUAUGAAUGGUAACAUUUCUAUAUAUUCCCACGGCAAGAAAUUCCGGGCAGUAACCAACCACGUGAGUUUCUUUGCCAGACAACAUCACUUGAUUUCUUGGCAGAAUACCAGGUUGAUUUCAAUAUGUGCAUACGUGAAGGUAAGUCCUUAACACAUUCGUUCGUUCUCUUGGACAAUUUAUUGAGAUCGUAGCACAUUGUGAAUUUGCAGUUUUAUAUUAACUGACUCAAACACCCUGUCUCCUAAAUGAUCUGCAUCUCUAUCAUCUUCGAUGAAACUACUUGAUUACUUUUAAUCAUUAGAUGUGCUAGAGGAGUGAGUCUGUUUUCGAAGAACUCAUCUUUUUAUUCAGUUUUCACUUAUGUUGUUCGGAAUCUUCAAAGAUACCAAUGAAUGCAUGUCGGAUUCGCUAAAAGUAGUGUAUAUUUGGAGUAUCCAACACGUGCAAUGUUAAAUUUUUUAUUUUACUGUCAAAAGGCUUUCCAGUCUGCUAGAAGAGAGAGGCAAAGCAAAAACUGAAAUAGAUCUUAUCUCAAUAGGUUUCUCUCAGUCAUUUUAGUCAUUUUUUCAUAUUGAGCUUACUAUUAUCCCGAGUUGAGAAAGCUCUGGAGGAGGUUGCGAGGGUUUCUGCAACUGUUGCGUUAUGGGUAAGGGAACAGGAAGCUUUGGUAAGAGGAGGAACAAGACCCACACACUACGAGUGAGGUGUGGAAGACGGAGCUUCCAUCUCCAGAAGAGCCGUUGCUCUGCUUGUGCUUACCGUCCUGCCCAUAAAAGGGAUACAAUUGGAGUUUGAAAGCUAUUCGCAGAAAAAGACAACUACAACUGGCCACAUGAGGUAUCUUUAGAAUGUCCCCCGCAGGUUCUUGGCCAAUUUCAGAGAAGGUACUGAAGCACCUCCUAGGAAAAAGGGAGUAGCUUCUUCUUGAGGCCUUUGAGACAGUUACUUGAGAGGCUAUUACUGGUAGCUUCAUUCUACCUUAGGUUUUGUUGCCCUUUAAAAGAUUUAUGUGCUUAAAAUUUUCGAAGUCCAUAUUUCAACUUGGCAUUUUUAUGAAGAAGGAUCUUAAGACUGCGAUAACUUAUUGGAAAAAACAAGCUUACCAUUAUUUCAUAUUGAGAUUACACAAGUCUUUUGAGAUCUAUUUGGAAGGCCCACGUGUUCAUCAUUAUGCUUCUUUGAAUUGAAUUAUAAUAGAUGGUGUGCAAUUGCUCCAUAGGUUGGUGACCUAAAAAAGAUUGGAGCAAAAUUUCCCGUCGAGUAUGUUAUGUUAAUAUUAUAAUAUUUUAGUUGGUUUGUAAGUGACAGUUUAAUUGGAAA